UCACUCUAGCGAGACUGCCGGUAAUAAACCGGAGGAAGGUGGGGAUGACGUCAAAUCAUCAUGCCCCUUAUGACCUGGGCUACACACGUGCUACAAUGGCUGGUACAACGAGUCGCAAGCCGGUGACGGCAAGCUAAUCUCUGAAAGCCAGUCUCAGUUCGGAUUGUAGGCUGCAACUCGCCUACAUGAAGUCGGAAUCGCUAGUAAUCGCGGAUCAGCACGCCGCGGUGAAUACGUUCCCGGGCCUUGUACACACCGCCCGUCACACCACGAGAGUUUGUAACACCCGAAGUCGGUGAGGUAACCGUAAGGAGCCAGCCGCCUAAGGUGGGAUAGAUGAUUGGGGUGAAGUCGUAACAAGGUAACCGUAA
This 371-nucleotide ribosomal RNA is filed under the name uncultured bacterium. Its description in RNAcentral is "bacterial SSU rRNA". It matches the Rfam family "Bacterial small subunit ribosomal RNA", at positions 1135 to 1505 of the family's 1533-position model. The record is from RNAcentral.